RNAcentral lists this ribosomal RNA (500 nucleotides) under uncultured bacterium. RNAcentral describes it as "bacterial SSU rRNA". It matches the Rfam family "Bacterial small subunit ribosomal RNA", at positions 28 to 551 of the family's 1533-position model. The record is from RNAcentral.
GAUAAACGCUGGCGGCGUGCAUGAGACAUGCAAGUCGAACGGUCAAUCGGGCUUGCUCGAUUGAUAGUGGCGGACGGCUGAGUAACGCGUAGGUGACCUGCCCCGAAGUGGGGAAUAACUGCCCGAAAGGGUGGCUAAUACCGCAUGUGGAGCUGCGUUCGGUCGUAGCUCUAAAGCUUUUGCGCUUCGGGAGGGGCCUGCGUCCGAUUAGCUCGUUGGUGGGGUAACGGCUCACCAAGGCGACGAUCGGUAGGUGGUCUGAGAGGACGAUCACCCAGACUGGGACUGAGACACGGCCCAGACUCCUACGGGAGGCAGCAGUCGGGAAUUUUGGGCAAUGGGCGAAAGCCUGACCCAGCAACGCCGCGUGAGGGAUGAAGGCCUUCGGGUCGUAAACCUCUUUUCUCAGGGACGAUGAUGACGGUACCUGAGGAAGAAGCCACGGCUAACUACGUGCCAGCAGCCGCGGUAAUACGUAGGUGGCGAGCGUUGUCCGGAUU